GCAUAUCAAUAAGCGGAGGAAAAGAAACCAACAGGGAUUGCCCUAGUAACGGCGAGUGAAGCGGCAACAGCUCAAAUUUGAAAUCUGGCUUUCGGGUCCGAGUUGUAAUUUGUAGAGGAUGCUUUUGGCGCGGUGCCUUCCGAGUUCCCUGGAACGGGACGCCUUAGAGGGUGAGAGCCCCGUACGGUUGGACACCAAGCCUCUGUAAAGCUCCUUCGACGAGUCGAGUAGUUUGGGAAUGCUGCUCUAAAUGGGAGGUAAAUUUCUUCUAAAGCUAAAUAUUGGCCAGAGACCGAUAGCGCACAAGUAGAGUGAUCGAAAGAUGAAAAGCACUUUGAAAAGAGGGUUAAAUAGCACGUGAAAUUGUUGAAAGGGAAGCGUUUGCGACCAGACCUUUUCUUAGCAGAUCAUCCGGUGUUCUCACCGGUGCACUUUGCUAGGUUUAGGCCAGCAUCGGUUUUCGUAGGGGGAUAAAAGCUUGGGGAAUGUAGCUCCCUCGGGAGUGUUAUAGCCCCUCGCAUAAUACCCUUACGGGGACCGAGGACCGCGCUUUAUGCAAGGAUGCUGGCAUAAUGGUUGUCAACGACCCGUCUUGAAACACGGACCAAGGAGUCGAACAUUUGUGCGAGUGUUAGGGUGUUAAACCCUCACGCGUAAUGAAAGUGAACGGAGGUGAGAGCCCUUACGGGUGCAUCAUCGACCGAUCCUGAUGUCUUCGGAUGGAUUUGAGUAAGAGCAUAACUGUUCGGACCCGAAAGAUGGUGAACUAUGCGUGGAUAGGGUGAAGCCAGAGGAAACUCUGGUGGAGGCUCGCAGCGGUUCUGACGUGCAAAUCGAUCGUCAAAUCUGCGCAUGGGGGCGAAAGACUUAUCGAACCAUCUAGUAGCUGGUUACCGCCAA
This 900-nucleotide ribosomal RNA is filed under the name Xylaria sp. Its description in RNAcentral is "partial large subunit ribosomal RNA". It matches the Rfam family "Eukaryotic large subunit ribosomal RNA", at positions 38 to 964 of the family's 3401-position model. Lineage: Eukaryota; Fungi; Ascomycota; Sordariomycetes; Xylariales; Xylariaceae. The record is from RNAcentral.